Long non-coding RNA from Vicia villosa (hairy vetch), 489 nucleotides. RefSeq lists it as uncharacterized. The record is from RefSeq and is a predicted model, not a curated record. NCBI's taxonomy places the organism in Eukaryota, Viridiplantae, Streptophyta, Magnoliopsida, Fabales, Fabaceae. The transcript has 3 exons.
UUUCCGAAAUGCAAGAAAAAGGUGUUUUCGGAGAUGCAUCUCCGAAAACGCCUUUUUUUUUUGAAAAAAUUGUCUUAUUUCGGAAGUUCAUUUCCGAAAACAGCAUUUCGGAAGUGAACUUCCGAAAUACUGCGCGUUCUGCAGAUUUAUUAAAACACUCCCCCUCCCCCAUUCAUUUACCCUAACUCAAAUCAAAAACAAGCAAAGGCGAAAAUUUGUGCAAACACACUUCCAAGGCUGCAUCAAGGCUCCAAUCACAUUGCUAUACAACAUUCAAAAGCCCACAAAUCACUCAAUUUGAACAUGUCAGGCAACCAACCAGCACGCAUCAGACAGGGUAGGGAGACCCAGACUGCGUCAGCUACACAGGGAAUGGGUGGCGCUAAGGGAAAAAAGGAGAUGAAGGAGAAGAAGAAGGUUUCGACCGGCUCUACUUCGUGCUCUCGCGGAGUGAAGGAGGUGAAGGAGAAGACGAAGGUUUCGACCGGC